Molecule: ribosomal RNA, 253 nt
Filed under: uncultured bacterium
Lineage: Bacteria
Description: partial 16S ribosomal RNA
Rfam family: Bacterial small subunit ribosomal RNA
Source: RNAcentral
UACAGAGGGUGCAAGCGUUAUUCGGAUUCACUGGGCGUAAAGGGUGCGCAGGCGGUCGGGUGUGUCAGAUGUGAAAUCCCGAGGCUCAACCUCGGAACUGCGUCUGAAACUACUCGACUAGAGUACUGGAGAGGGUAACGGAAUUCACGGUGUAGCAGUGAAAUGCGUAGAUAUCGUGAGGAACACCAGAGGCGAAGGCGGUUACCUGGACAGUUACUGACGCUCAGGCACGAAAGCAUGGGGAGCAAAAGGG